Non-coding RNA from Xiphophorus maculatus (southern platyfish), 45 nucleotides. The record is from Rfam. NCBI's taxonomy places the organism in Eukaryota, Metazoa, Chordata, Actinopteri, Cyprinodontiformes, Poeciliidae.
ACAAAGGCCCUUUUUAGGGCCACACAAAUAUAACUUGAAGCAGAA